GGAGGAUCCCGUAAGACGAUCCAUGGGAAUGGAAAGGGGGCUGGUCAAGAGGAGGGGACAAAGGGGAACUCCCCCCUCCGGCCCUCCUUUCACCCCCACGCAGACAAAACAAACAGGAAGGAGCUGAUCCAUGGUGCAGUCCCACCUCCACCUUGAACACCUGGGUCACCCCUACAAAACAUCUCACCAAUGUCCUCCAGCUACCGUCCUUGUCCAACAUCUCCAAUGUUCUUCUCUGCUGCUACAGACUUCCUCCUACAGACAACAGCUCCGGCAUCAAAGGUCUGCUGGUGAUUCUCAUGAUGGAUUUGGUUAUGGUUCAUGUUGGAUACCUUUCCAGACAGCACAUCCAUCCAUCCAUCCAAAGGAUUUGGAACCAGCACGAAAAACCCUGGAUUGUGUCCCCUUGUGUACAUUUAAAAUUUCUCCUGAUGUACUUGAAUCCACUCAUUGACAUUUAGAGGGCUGCAGUUGGAGUUUACCCCUCAGUGUUCAGUGGGCUCCUCACCUCCAUGUGGAGUUUGAUCAGGAGGUCCAGCUUUUGUCCUGCAGGACCUCCAGAACACGAGAACUUCUCACUGAGGUCAAGACUCUGACCGCUCCCACGCCGGCCAAAUGCAAUGACAGAAAUGAGUUUGGAGCAGGUGCAGCCAGGGAUCUUUGUGGAGGUGGGAGGCGCGACUCACUUUAUUACUGGGAGUUCAGUUGCUGAGCUGCACACACAGAAACAGAAUGACGGUGACGCCAGAGGCUGCAAACACAAAACGCAGAAAAAAAGCCAAAGCUGGGAAAUAUUUUAAGUAGAACUUCCUCCAUUUUUAACAAAAAAAAGAACAUCCUGUUUAAUAUGAGCAAAUGAGGGACCAACCCCCCCAAUAGUGCUGCCUUUUUUAAACAAACAUUAAAAAUAUUUCUGCUUCCAUUUAGAAUGUGUGUCUUUAUUAAUGGGAACAAAUGGAUUUUCUGCUAAACAGACUUAGAAUGGAGGAAACAGAACAGCAAAAAUCUGAGAGGAAGAGGAGCGUGUCUGGACAUAAACAAGCUCAUUUUCCUUUUAAUCAAUCAAUUAAUCUCCACUGAGCCCUCAAAUCGGAUCCUAUCUCCCAGAAAAGACGAUGAAACCCAAAUGAUUGGGGAUAAUCGACAGCUCUCAUUCCAUUCUGUGGUUUGAUGAGUUCAGUCGACAAAAAGAAGCUGAUUCAGCUACAAGCUGAUCUCCUGCCAGGACAAAAAUGUUAAAAAUGUCAGCUUCAUUAAACGUUCAAUCUUUCCUGCACUGGAGAUAAACUGAACUCGGGCUGCUGCAGGUCAAAGGCCGGCUUCUGCGUGGGUCGUCGGUGUGGUGAGAUUCGCAGGGAUGGUCCUCCCCCAGACACAAAAACAAACAGAUAAAAGUGACAUUCCACCCUAAAAAAGGAGAGCGACCCCAUCAGACCCCUGUUUGAGCACUGCCGUCAUGCCAGGGGGACUCCCGCUCCAGUCUGUCAGUCCAAAGGGGAGGUCAGUUUUUCUGUCAGCUCCUCAUACGGGAGGACACCGAGUCUCCGGGACGCAGAGUUUCACAGGGGUUCUCUGAAAACAAAUGAGGAUGUCAGCAAAUAAGAGGGGGGGCCGUCCAUGUUUGGACUGCAAGGCUCUUUGUUUGUCCGUCCGCUGCAGGAACAGAACUCUGUGAACUGUUUAGCAGGCCUCUGUGUGUGUGUCUUUGUGUGUGUGUGUGUGUUUUCAGGGAGGACACGACACUCGGGCCGAGGAGGAAGGAAGCUGAACGACCGGGGAGUCGAGCAUCUGGAGGUCACUCAGACAAGCUUGUUAAAUUCAACAGAAACUUAAAGCAAACGGGAGUUCAGCAAGAAUGUUUCAGCGCUUCUUCCCACGAGGCCAUCAGUCAUCUUCAACACAAGCAGAAGAGGCAGAGUGGCAGCUCAUCUCUGACAGCUUUAAUUGUCCAGAUGAAAAACAACAACAUGGAGUCAGGGAUCACCGUGUACCUGCGUGUGGAAACACCAAGAUGUUCAGCAGAUGUGUUUCCAUGUUGUUGAGCAAACUGGAUAAUUAUCAUUCAGCUGCAGCUGAGGCAGACAGGAAUGUCUGUACCACUGCAGGUCUGAUCUCCAAGCCAAGAACAGCAGAAAGCAGCAGAAAGCUCCAGGAACCUCCAACAACACCACCGCUUUCUGGACUCUCAAUAUUUGUGGUGUUUUCCAGAAACUUCCUCUCAGGUUUGCUGAGAUAUUUCAGGCUGAACAUGGAUCCACUGCUUCAGAAAGAGCCAAAAGAAACUGCAUGUUAACAUGCUGCCACCUGGUGUUGAAGUCAUGAACAUGAAAAUAUCAAAUCCUUCAGAGACUUUAAUCUAAACAUUUAAAACUGAGGGGGAAAAAGGAAGAAACUUUUUAAAAAAGGAGAAAAUUGUGUUCCAAGUUUGAUCUGACUGACGACUGAUUUUCUGCUUCAUUGUCUAAACUCUGUCUAAUGCUCUCAAAAGACAGAGUGAUGAAUGAAUGUGGCAUAAAUUGAUGGUCAAUAGGAACCUAAGUGGUGCAAAACUUCAAAUAUUAAAUGAGGAUUCUUUACCAAGAUCAAAUGUACAACUAUAAAACCAUUAAAGGCGGAUUUCAUCAGUGAAAGAAAA
This is a long non-coding RNA of Oryzias latipes (Japanese medaka), 2635 nucleotides long. RefSeq lists it as uncharacterized. NCBI's taxonomy places the organism in Eukaryota, Metazoa, Chordata, Actinopteri, Beloniformes, Adrianichthyidae. The record is from RefSeq and is a predicted model, not a curated record.